This is a small nuclear RNA of Diceros bicornis minor, 104 nucleotides long. Lineage: Eukaryota; Metazoa; Chordata; Mammalia; Perissodactyla; Rhinocerotidae. The record is from RefSeq and is a predicted model, not a curated record.
GUGCUUGCUUCAGCAGCACAUAUAUUAAAAUUGGAACAAUAGAGAGAUUAGCACGACCCCUGUGCAAAGAUGACAUGCAAAUUCUUGAAGUAUUCCAUAUUUUU